This 253-nucleotide ribosomal RNA is filed under the name uncultured bacterium. Its description in RNAcentral is "partial 16S ribosomal RNA". It matches the Rfam family "Bacterial small subunit ribosomal RNA", at positions 524 to 776 of the family's 1533-position model. The record is from RNAcentral.
UACGAAGGGGGCUAGCGUUGCUCGGAAUCACUGGGCGUAAAGGGUGCGUAGGCGGGUCUUUAAGUCAGGGGUGAAAUCCUGGAGCUCAACUCCAGAACUGCCUUUGAUACUGAAGAUCUUGAGUUCGGGAGAGGUGAGUGGAACUGCUAGUGUAGAGGUGAAAUUCGUAGAUAUUCGCAAGAACACCAGUGGCGAAGGCGGCUCACUGGCCCGAUACUGACGCUGAGGCACGAAAGCGUGGGGAGCAAACAGG